RNAcentral lists this unclassified non-coding RNA (372 nucleotides) under fungal sp. RNAcentral describes it as "partial internal transcribed spacer region". The stretch from base 1 to 46 matches the Rfam family "Eukaryotic small subunit ribosomal RNA", at positions 1786 to 1831 of the family's 1831-position model. Lineage: Eukaryota; Fungi. The record is from RNAcentral.
AAGUCGUAACAAGGUUUCCGUAGGUGAACCUGCGGAAGGAUCAUUAAAAAUUUUUUUACCAUCAUAUGGAAAAAAAAAUCCAUAUUCACCUUGUGUGCAUUUAUUGAAUGUUUGCUUUUGGGAGCGCAGAGUCUUGAUUUAAAAAAACCUGGAGGACGAAGUUUAAAACGCUGUUGCGAUACUUCGUCGUCUUUGGGUUGGCUUAAAUUUAAAGCGGAAGGUUUCCGAAAGGAAAUUAAUAUCCGGCCUCCCAAAAGAUUUUUUAAACUCCAUAUAUAUUUUUUCAUAAAUUUCUGUCUGACAAAUAAAUAUCAUCUUUUGAUAUUAAUAAAAAAAUUUAAACAACUUUCAACAACGGAUCUCUUGGUUCUC